Molecule: long non-coding RNA, 267 nt
Organism: Bubalus bubalis (water buffalo)
Lineage: Eukaryota; Metazoa; Chordata; Mammalia; Artiodactyla; Bovidae
Exons: 3
Source: RefSeq, a predicted model, not a curated record
AGGUAGCAUUUCUCAAUCAUUUUUCUAACCAUGGGGCACAUUUUUCAUCAUCAGCUUUGUGUCUGCUCUUGGAAGUAUAGUAGUAAGCAAGACAUUUCCUGAAAUCAUUUUGUGAUCUUCCUCUGGCAAAAUGUUUAUUUGCCAGUGAAUUCAGUGGACGAGCAUGGAGAACAAUGAAUGUGCUGGUAUUACAUAUGUGCCAUGAAUUUCUUUCUUUCAGGGAUCAUGUCUUUGCUGCUGCUGCUGCUAAACUGCUUCAGUCAUGUC